GAGUUUGCUCCUGGCUCAGGAUGAACGCUAGCGGCAGGCUUAACACAUGCAAGUCGAGGGGUAACGGGGAAGCUUGCUUCCGCCGACGACCGGCGCACGGGUGCGUAACGCGUAUACAAUCUACCUUAUACUGGGGUAUAGCCUUUAGAAAUGAAGAUUAACCCCCCAUAGUCUCUUAGAGUGGCAUCACUUCUAGAGUAAAGGUUACGGUAUAAGAUGAGUAUGCGUUCUAUUAGUUUGUUGGUGUGGUAACGGCACACCAAGACUACGAUAGAUAGGGGCCCUGAGAGGGGGAUCCCCCACACUGGUACUGAGACACGGACCAGACUCCUACGGGAGGCAGCAGUGAGGAAUAUUGGACAAUGGAGGCAACUCUGAUCCAGCCAUGCCGCGUGCAGGAAGACUGCCCUAUGGGUUGUAAACUGCUUUUAUACAGGAAGAAACACCUCUACGUGUAGAGGCUUGACGGUACUGUAAGAAUAAGGAUCGGCUAACUCCGUGCCAGCAGCCGCGGUAAUACGGAGGAUCCAAGCGUUAUCCGGAAUCAUUGGGUUUAAAGGGUCCGUAGGUGGAUAAUUAAGUCAGAGGUGAAAUCUUGCAGCUCAACUGUAAAAUUGCCUUUGAAACUGGUUAUCUUGAGUUAUUAUGAAGUAGUUAGAAUAUGUAGUGUAGCGGUGAAAUGCAUAGAUAUUACAUAGAAUACCAAUUGCGAAGGCAGAUUACUAAUAAUCAACUGACACUGAUGGACGAAAGCGUGGGUAGCGAACAGGAUUAGAUACCCUGGUAGUCCACGCCGUAAACGAUGGUUACUAGCUGUUUGGACUUCGGUCUGAGUGGCUAAGCGAAAGUGAUAAGUAACCCACCUGGGGAGUACGUUCGCAAGAAUGAAACUCAAAGGAAUUGACGGGGGCCCGCACAAGCGGUGGAGCAUGUGGUUUAAUUCGAUGAUACGCGAGGAACCUUACCAGGGCUUAAAUGUAAGUUGCAUUAGUUAGAGAUAGCUAUUUCUUCGGACCACUUACAAGGUGCUGCAUGGUUGUCGUCAGCUCGUGCCGUGAGGUGUCAGGUUAAGUCCUAUAACGAGCGCAACCCCUGUUGUUAGUUGCCAGCGAGUCAUGUCGGGAACUCUAGCAAGACUGCCAGUGCAAACUGUGAGGAAGGUGGGGAUGACGUCAAAUCAUCACGGCCCUUACGUCCUGGGCUACACACGUGCUACAAUGGUAGGUACAGAGAGCAGCCACUGCGCGAGCAGGAGCGAAUCUAUAAAACCUAUCACAGUUCGGAUCGGAGUCUGCAACUCGACUCCGUGAAGCUGGAAUCGCUAGUAAUCGGAUAUCAGCCAUGAUCCGGUGAAUACGUUCCCGGGCCUUGUACACACCGCCCGUCAAGCCAUGGAAGUUGGAAGUGCCUGAAGUCCGUCACCGUAAGGAGCGGCCUAGGGUAAAGUCGAUAACUAGGGCUAAGUCGUAACAAGGUAACC
Molecule: ribosomal RNA, 1480 nt
Filed under: uncultured marine bacterium
Lineage: Bacteria
Description: bacterial SSU rRNA
Rfam family: Bacterial small subunit ribosomal RNA
Source: RNAcentral